RNAcentral lists this ribosomal RNA (494 nucleotides) under uncultured bacterium. Its description in RNAcentral is "partial 16S ribosomal RNA". It matches the Rfam family "Bacterial small subunit ribosomal RNA", at positions 28 to 507 of the family's 1533-position model. The record is from RNAcentral.
GACGAGCGCUGGCGGCAUGCCUAAUACAUGCAAGUCGAACGAUGAUAUCACUGCUUGCAGUGAUUGAUUAGUGGCGAACGGGUGAGUAACACGUGAGGAACUUGCCCAUGAGCGGGGGACAACAUUCGGAAACGGAUGCUAAUACCCCAUAGGUGGAUUGGUCGCAUGACGAAUUCAUUAAAGGUGGCUCUGCUACCACUCAUGGAUAGCCUCGCGGCGUAUUAGCUAGUUGGUAAGGUAAUGGCUUACCAAGGCAGUGAUACGUAGCCGACUUGAGAGGGUGAUCGGCCACACUGGGACUGAGACACGGCCCAGACUCCUACGGGAGGCAGCAGUAGGGAAUCUUCCACAAUGGGUGCAAACCUGAUGGAGCAAUGCCGCGUGAGUGAAGAAGGUCUUCGGAUCGUAAAGCUCUGUUGUUAGAGAAGAACACGUGCUAGGUAACUACUAGCGCCUUGACGGUAGCUAACCAGAAAGUCACGGCUAACUACGUG